UACGGGGGGGGCAAGCGUUGUUCGGAAUUACUGGGCGUAAAGGGCUCGUAGGCGGCCAACUAAGUCAUACGUGAAAUCCCUCGGCUUAACCGGGGAACUGCGUCUGAUACUGGAUGGCUUGAGUUCGGGAGAGGGAUGCGGAAUUCCAGAUGUAGCGGUGAAAUGCGUAGAUAUCUGGAGGAACACCGGUGGCGAAGGCGGCAUCCUGGACCGAUACUGACGCUGAGGAGCGAAAGCCAGGGGAGCAAACGGG
This 253-nucleotide ribosomal RNA is filed under the name uncultured bacterium. RNAcentral's name for it is "partial 16S ribosomal RNA". It matches the Rfam family "Bacterial small subunit ribosomal RNA", at positions 524 to 776 of the family's 1533-position model. The record is from RNAcentral.